RNAcentral lists this ribosomal RNA (253 nucleotides) under uncultured bacterium. RNAcentral's name for it is "partial 16S ribosomal RNA". It matches the Rfam family "Bacterial small subunit ribosomal RNA", at positions 524 to 776 of the family's 1533-position model. The record is from RNAcentral.
UACGGGGGGAGCAAGCGUUGUUCGGAUUUACUGGGCGUAAAGAGCGCGCAGGCGGUCAGAUAAGUCGAAUGUGAAAGCCCCCGGCUCAACUGGGGAGGGUCAUUCGAUACUGUUCGACUCGAAGGCAGGAGAGGGAAGUGGAAUUCCCGGUGUAGUGGUGAAAUGCGUAGAUAUCGGGAGGAACACCAGUGGCGAAGGCGACUUCCUGGCCUGUUCUUGACGCUGAGGCGCGAAAGCUAGGGGAGCAAACGGG